Molecule: long non-coding RNA, 808 nt
Organism: Camelus dromedarius (Arabian camel)
Lineage: Eukaryota; Metazoa; Chordata; Mammalia; Artiodactyla; Camelidae
Exons: 3
Source: RefSeq, a predicted model, not a curated record
ACACAGAGGAACUACACGCACGGCACUGACAUGGGGCCGUCCGGCUGUUGCCCAGGUGCAGUCGCACACCCUCCUCGCCGCUGACGCAGCGCUCCUGCACCACAGGCUCCCGCGGGGGCUCCGGUCCUUCCCCCCGCCGCUCCGUGCGAGCCAAAACUGAGCUGCCACUUGCUCAGCCGAUUCUGGGAUGCAGGGAGGAGAAGAGAAAGCCGGGGCAGCAGUUCAGUUCGGGAGGUGAAGCGGAUGCUGAUUCCACUGUCAUCCCACUGCCUGAGAUCACUCUGACCAGCAGAGGUGGUGGAAGUGAGGCUGCUUUGAGGCUGGGCAGCUGCUGCCUCGGUCUCUGGGACCCGAGCCGCCCUAUGCAUGGUCCGACGACACUGAUAAAGAGUUCGCAUGGAGAUGCUCUGAGAUCCAAGGAGAGGUGGAGGGAACAGGGGACCCUAGCCGCCCCCAACAAGGCACCAGAUGUGAGAGUGAAGUCCAUAGAUGCUCCCAGGACACCUGCUGAGCGCCACCCAGCCACCCAGUGACCCAGCUGGGGCGGCACAGGGCAGAACAAUUGCCCAGUUUCCUUACAGCGUUGAGAUGCUACCAGGAGAGGUCGGAUACUGAUGGAAGGAGCGUGAUCUCCACCCCUGGACGAAACCUCCUGAGUGCUGCUUGUCACAGAGCCUGGUAAAUAGUUUCAAUCUGCAGCAAGACGCCCUGUUCUGGCCCACGGAAGAAGAGGUAAAGUAUGAAAUAAGUGGGCGGGUGGCCUUAUCACACAUUCUUUCCAUAAUAACAGAGAUUUUGGAGUUGAACA